UGGGGAAUAUUGCGCAAUGGGGGAAACCCUGACGCAGCGACGCCGCGUGCGGGAUGAAGGCCUUCGGGUUGUAAACCGCUUUUGAUUGGGAGCAAGCCUUUUGGGUGAGUGUACCUUUCGAAUAAGCGCCGGCUAACUACGUGCCAGCAGCCGCGGUAAUACGUAGGGCGCAAGCGUUAUCCGGAAUUAUUGGGCGUAAAGGGUACGUAGGCGGAUAAGCAAGUUAGAAGUGAAAUCCUAUAGCUCAAAUAUAGUAAGCUUUUAAAACUGCUCAUCUUGAGGUAUGGAAGGGAAAGUAGAAUUCCUAGUGUAGCGGUGAAAUGCGCAGAUAUUAGGAGGAAAACCGGUGGCGAAGGCUACUUUCUGGCCAUAUACUGACGCUGAGGUACGAAAGCGUGGGUAGCAAACAGG
RNAcentral lists this ribosomal RNA (411 nucleotides) under Verrucomicrobiota bacterium. RNAcentral's name for it is "Verrucomicrobia bacterium partial 16S ribosomal RNA". It matches the Rfam family "Bacterial small subunit ribosomal RNA", at positions 355 to 776 of the family's 1533-position model. The record is from RNAcentral. Lineage: Bacteria; Pseudomonadati; Verrucomicrobiota.